RNAcentral lists this transfer RNA (73 nucleotides) under Lachnospiraceae bacterium. RNAcentral describes it as "tRNA-Lys". It matches the Rfam family "tRNA". Rfam says of the family: Transfer RNA (tRNA) molecules are approximately 80 nucleotides in length. Their secondary structure includes four short double-helical elements and three loops (D, anti-codon, and T loops). Further hydrogen bonds mediate the characteristic L-shaped molecular structure. tRNAs have two regions of fundamental functional importance: the anti-codon, which is responsible for specific mRNA codon recognition, and the 3' end, to which the tRNAs corresponding amino acid is attached (by aminoacyl-tRNA synthetases). tRNAs cope with the degeneracy of the genetic code in two manners: having more than one tRNA (with a specific anti-codon) for a particular amino acid; and 'wobble' base-pairing, i.e. permitting non-standard base-pairing at the 3rd anti-codon position. Lineage: Bacteria; Bacillati; Bacillota; Clostridia; Lachnospirales; Lachnospiraceae. The record is from RNAcentral. RNAcentral also lists the same sequence under 1 other name.
GAGAUACUAGCUCAGUUGGUAGAGCACCUGACUUUUAAUCAGGGUGUCGCGGGUUCAAAUCCCGCGUGUCUCA